AUUGAACGCUGGCGGCAUGCUUUACACAUGCAAGUCGAACGGUAACGCGGGGGCAACCCUGGCGACGAGUGGCGAACGGGUGAGUAAUACAUCGGAACGUGCCCAGUAGUGGGGGAUAGCUCGGCGAAAGCCGGAUUAAUACCGCAUACGACCUAAGGGUGAAAGCGGGGGACCGUAAGGCCUCGCGCUAUUGGAGCGGCCGAUGGCAGAUUAGCUUGUUGGUGAGGUAAAGGCUUACCAAGGCGACGAUCUGUAGCUGGUCUGAGAGGACGACCAGCCACACUGGGACUGAGACACGGCCCAGACUCCUACGGGAGGCAGCAGUGGGGAAUUUUGGACAAUGGGCGCAAGCCUGAUCCAGCAAUGCCGCGUGUGUGAUGAAGGCCUUCGGGUUGUAAAGCACUUUUGGUAGGAACGAAACGGUCUGGGCUAAUACCCCGGACUAAUGACGGUACCUGCAGAAUAAGCACCGGCUAACUACGUGCCAGCCGCCGCCGUAA
Molecule: ribosomal RNA, 500 nt
Filed under: uncultured bacterium
Lineage: Bacteria
Description: partial 16S ribosomal RNA
Rfam family: Bacterial small subunit ribosomal RNA
Source: RNAcentral